CGUAGGGUGCAAGCGUUAAUCGGAAUUACUGGGCGUAAAGCGUGCGCAGGCGGUUUUAUAAGUCUGAUGUGAAAUCCCCGGGCUCAACCUGGGAACUGCAUUGGAGACUGUAAGGCUAGAGUGUGUCAGAGGGGGUAGAAUUCCACGUGUAGCAGUGAAAUGCGUAGAUAUGUGGAGGAAUACCGAUGGCGAAGGCAGCCCCCUGGGAUAACACUGACGCUCAUGCACGAAAGCGUGGGGAGCAAACAGGAUUAGAUACCCUGGUAGUCCACGCCCUAAACGAUGUCUACUAGUUGUCGGGUCUUAAUUGACUUGGUAACGCAGCUAACGCGUGAAGUAGACCGCCUGGGGAGUACGGUCGCAAGAUUA
RNAcentral lists this ribosomal RNA (369 nucleotides) under uncultured organism. RNAcentral's name for it is "bacterial SSU rRNA". It matches the Rfam family "Bacterial small subunit ribosomal RNA", at positions 526 to 896 of the family's 1533-position model. The record is from RNAcentral.